This 245-nucleotide ribosomal RNA is filed under the name uncultured Granulosicoccus sp. RNAcentral's name for it is "partial 16S ribosomal RNA". It matches the Rfam family "Bacterial small subunit ribosomal RNA", at positions 524 to 768 of the family's 1533-position model. The record is from RNAcentral. Lineage: Bacteria; Pseudomonadati; Pseudomonadota; Gammaproteobacteria; Chromatiales; Granulosicoccaceae.
UACAGAGGGUGCAAGCGUUAAUCGGAAUUACUGGGCGUAAAGCGCACGUAGGUGGUUUGAUAAGUUGGGUGUGAAAUCCCCGAGCUUAACUUGGGAAUUGCAUUCAAGACUGUCUUACUAGAGUGUGGAAGAGGGAAGCGGAAUUCCAGGUGUAGCGGUGAAAUGCGUAGAUAUCUGGAGGAACAUCAGUGGCGAAGGCGGCUUCCUGGUCCAACACUGACACUGAGGUGCGAAAGCGUGGGGAG